This 583-nucleotide ribosomal RNA is filed under the name Merodon bombiformis. RNAcentral's name for it is "partial large subunit ribosomal RNA". The record is from RNAcentral. Lineage: Eukaryota; Metazoa; Arthropoda; Insecta; Diptera; Syrphidae.
UAUCCAUUAUGGAAAAUUCAACAUUAAUAUUAUAAUAUUUAUUUAUAUAAAUAUUAUAAAAAUAGUGUGCAAUUUUUCCAUAUGAAGGACAUUGUAAUCUGUUAAUGUAAUAAAUAUUUAUCAUAAGAUUUAAUAAAAAUAAAAGUUUAUUCAAAUUAGUUAUUUUUCGAAAUUUCUAACAUAGAAUAAAUUUACUAAUUAAAUUUGAUAAAUCAUUGACAGAUUUAUUUAUAUAUAGUGCUCAAAAUUCUUAAUUGAAUUUUACAAUAAUUUUUAAAUGUAUUUUCAUUUAUUUAUUUAUUGUAUGCUCUUAUAUGAUUAACAAUGCUAUAGAUUCAGGAUACCUUCGGGACCCGUCUUGAAACACGGACCAAGGAGUCUAACAUAUGUGCAAGUCAUUGGGUAUUUUUAAUAAAACCCAAAGGCAUAAUUAACUUAACUGUUUUUGAAAUAUAUAUAUAUGGGAUUAGUUUAUAUUUUAUUAUGAAAUAUUAAUUCAAUCCCGGGGCGUUCUAUAUAGUUAUGUAUAAUAAUAUUUAUAUUAUUUAUACCUCUAACUAGAGCGUACCUUGAGCAAAUAUGC